RNAcentral lists this ribosomal RNA (492 nucleotides) under uncultured bacterium. Its description in RNAcentral is "partial 16S ribosomal RNA". It matches the Rfam family "Bacterial small subunit ribosomal RNA", at positions 29 to 507 of the family's 1533-position model. The record is from RNAcentral.
AGUGAACGCUGGCGGUAGGCCUAACACAUGCAAGUCGAACGGCAGCACAGUAAGAGCUUGCUCUUACGGGUGGCGAGUGGCGGACGGGUGAGGAAUACAUCGGGAUCUACUUUUUCGUGGGGGAUAACGUAGGGAAACUUACGCUAAUACCGCAUACGACCUACGGGUGAAAGCAGGGGAUCUUCGGACCUUGCGCGAUUGAAUGAGCCGAUGUCGGAUUAGCUAGUUGGCGGGGUAAAGGCCCACCAAGGCGACGAUCCGUAGCUGGUCUGAGAGGAUGAUCAGCCACACUGGAACUGAGAAACGGUCCAGACUCCUACGGGAGGCAGCAGUGGGGAAUAUUGGACAAUGGGCGAAAGCCUGAUCCAGCCAUACCGCGUGGGUGAAGAAGGCCUUCGGGUUGUAAAGCCCUUUUGUUGGGAAAGAAAAGCAGCAGGUUAAUACCCCGCUGUUCUGACGGUACCCAAAGAAUAAGCACCGGCUAACUUCGUG